Long non-coding RNA from Columba livia (rock pigeon), 901 nucleotides. RefSeq lists it as uncharacterized. The record is from RefSeq and is a predicted model, not a curated record. The transcript has 2 exons. Lineage: Eukaryota; Metazoa; Chordata; Aves; Columbiformes; Columbidae.
UUUUUCUUUCUUUCUUUCCCCCUAGACCUGGUGUCCCACGCUGAAUGCAGCAUGCUUCAUUUCUAGAUCUGACUGAAAGGGAAUAUGGAAAUUAAUUGUCUGAGGCUGCUCACAGCCUUUUACACACUCCUGUACCCUGUGAGAGGUGCCGUGCAAUUGCUUUCCCGUCGUGGCUCCCCACCAGCCGCCUGUCUUCUCACAAGCUGCUGCGGCUGCUCCUGGCCCGGGUACCAGAGAUGGAUGUCCCCUUCCUCUCCCUAUUGUGCAAGAGGGAGGGCAGCUGGCAGGGCUGUCCUCCUGAGGGCUGGAACUGCCCCCGAUUGACUAAAACCAGGCCAGAUUUAGUGACUUCUCCAGCUUUUGAUGCACAGACUGAAGAUGGUGGUUCUGCUGUCCCAUGCUGAGCACUGCACACUGUCCUGAGGAGAUGUCCCAUCUCCCUGUGGAGCUCUCCCAGCUCCAUGAAAAAGACAAAGCUCUACAGAAGAAAGGCCUUGCCUCCAUGUCACGCAUGUGGGAGGUCUGAAAGGACCAAGGCCUCGCAGCCAGCCAGGCAGGAAGGUGAUGUCAGGAAGGCCAGGAGCACCUACAGAAUGAGGAGACACCCAUGGUUCAGAGACACAACUGCUCUGGGAGUGCCUCAGCACUUGCUGGGCGGUGAUGGGCUCCUUUGAAGGGUGGAUGGUGCAAACCUGACCCUGACUCAGUCCCUCGCUGGAAGGGCAAAGCUGAGCUCUAAUAUAUGGGAGAACGUGGUUUGUCAUUUGUGCUGAUUGCUUUUUCUUUGGCAGCACUUCAAAAAGUGGCUUUUAGAGACCUGAAGAAGGACUUCUGUGCCCAGAAGCUUGUCUAAUUUUCCCAUCUAUAAUCAGUUGGUCUAAUAAAAGAUAUUGUCUCUACA